This 464-nucleotide ribosomal RNA is filed under the name uncultured bacterium. RNAcentral's name for it is "partial 16S ribosomal RNA". It matches the Rfam family "Bacterial small subunit ribosomal RNA", at positions 339 to 795 of the family's 1533-position model. The record is from RNAcentral.
CUACGGGAUGCAGCAGUGGGGAAUAUUGCACAAUGGGCGCAAGCCUGAUGCAGCCAUGCCGCGUGUAUGAAGAAGGCCUUCGGGUUGUAAAGUACUUUCAGCGGGGAGGAAGGGAGUAAAGUUAAUACCUUUGCUCAUUGACGUUACCCGCAGAAGAAGCACCGGCUAACUCCGUGCCAGCAGCCGCGGUAAUACGGAGGGUGCAAGCGAUAAUCGGAAUUACUGGGCGUACAGCGCACGCAGGCGGUUUGUUAAGUCAGAUGUGAAAUCCCCGGGCGCAACCUGGGAACUGCAUCUGAUACUGGCAAGCUUGAGUCUCGUAGAGGGGGGUAGAAUUCCAGGUGUAGCGGUGAUAUGCGUAGAGAUCUGGAGGAAUACCGGUGGCGAAGGCGGCCCCCUGGACGAAGACUGACGCUCAGGUGCGAAAGCGUGGGGAGCAAACAGGAUUAGAUACCCCCGUAGUC